Molecule: ribosomal RNA, 448 nt
Filed under: uncultured bacterium
Lineage: Bacteria
Description: bacterial SSU rRNA
Rfam family: Bacterial small subunit ribosomal RNA
Source: RNAcentral
AACGAACGCUGGCGGCAUGCCUAACACAUGCAAGUCGAACGAAGUCUUCGGACUUAGUGGCGCACGGGUGCGUAACGCGUGGGAAUCUGCCCUUGGGUGCGGAAUAACUUCUCGAAAGGGAUGCUAAUACCGCAUAAUGUCGUAAGACCAAAGAUUUAUCGCCCAAGGAUGAGCCCGCGUAAGAUUAGCUAGUUGGUGGGGUAAAAGCCUACCAAGGCGACGAUCUUUAGCUGGUCUGAGGGGAUGAUCAGCCACACUGGGACUGAGACACGGCCCAGACUCCUACGGGAGGCAGCAGUGGGGAAUAUUGGACAAUGGGCGAAAGCCUGAUCCAGCAAUGCCGCGUGAGUGAUGAAGGCCCUAGGGUUGUAAAGACUCUUUUACCAGGGAUGAUAAUGACAGUACCUGGAGAAUAAGCUCCGGCUAACUCCGUGCCAGCAGCCGCGGU